This 443-nucleotide ribosomal RNA is filed under the name uncultured bacterium. RNAcentral's name for it is "partial 16S ribosomal RNA". It matches the Rfam family "Bacterial small subunit ribosomal RNA", at positions 338 to 795 of the family's 1533-position model. The record is from RNAcentral.
CCUACGGGAGGCAGCAGUGGGGAAUAUUGGGCAAUGGAGGAAACUCUGACCCAGCAACGCCGCGUGAAUGAUGAAGGUCUUCGGAUUGUAAAGUUCUUUUCUAAGGGAAGAAGAAAGUGACGGUACCUUAGGAAUAAGCCUCGGCUAACUACGUGCCAGCAGCCGCGGUAAUACGUAGGAGGCGAGCGUUAUCCGGAAUGACUGGGCGUAAAGGGUGCGUAGGUGGUUUGGCAAGUUAGUAGCGUAACUCCAAGGCUCAACCUUGGAACUACUACUAAAACUGUUGGACUUGAGUGCAGGAGGGGAAACCGGAAUUCCAAGUGUAGCGGGGAAAUGAGUAGAUAUUAGGAGGAACACCAGUGGCGAAGGGGGGUGGUAAGACGGUAACUGACACUGAGGCACGAAAGCGGGGGGAGAAAACAGGAUUAGAUACCCUAGGAGUC